RNAcentral lists this ribosomal RNA (481 nucleotides) under uncultured bacterium. Its description in RNAcentral is "partial 16S ribosomal RNA". It matches the Rfam family "Bacterial small subunit ribosomal RNA", at positions 28 to 523 of the family's 1533-position model. The record is from RNAcentral.
GAUGAACGCUGGCGGCGUGCCUAACACAUGCAAGUCGAACGAUGAAACCGCCCCCGGGCGGACAUGAAGUGGCGAACGGGUGAGUAACACGUGACCGACCUGCCCCCCGCCCAGGGACAGCCCCCCGAAAGGGGGAUUAAUACCUGGUACUCCGGAAGCGGCGCAUGCCGCCCCCGGGAAAGCUUUUCGCGGCGGGGGAUGGGGUCGCGGCCCAUCAGGUAGACGGCGGGGCAGAGGCCCACCGUGCCGACGACGGGUAGCCGGGUUGAGAGACCGACCGGCCACAUUGGGACUGAGAUACGGCCCAGACUCCUACGGGAGGCAGCAGUGGGGAAUUUUGCGCAAUGGGGGCAACCCUGACGCAGCAACGCCGCGUGCGGGACGAAGGCGUCCGCGUCGUAAACCGCUUUCAGCGGGGAACACUUUUCGAGGGUACCCGCAGAAGGAGCCCCGGCUAAAUACGUGCCAGCCGCCGCGGUAA